CGAAUGCUGACAUAAGUAACGAUAAAGCGGGUGAAAAGCCCGCUCGCCGGAAGACCAAGGGUUCCUGUCCAACGUUAAUCGGGGCAGGGUGAGUCGACCCCUAAGGCGAGGCCGAAAGGCGUAGUCGAUGGGAAACAGGUUAAUAUUCCUGUACUUGGUGUUACUGCGAAGGGGGGACGGAGAAGGCUAUGUUGGCCGGGCGACGGUUGUCCCGGUUUAAGCGUGUAGGCUGGUUUUCCAGGCAAAUCCGGAAAAUCAAGGCUGAGGCGUGAUGACGAGGCACUACGGUGCUGAAGCAACAAAUGCCCUGCUUCCAGGAAAAGCCUCUAAGCAUCAGGUAACAUCAAAUCGUACCCCAAACCGACACAGGUGGUCAGGUAGAGAAUACCAAGGCGCUUGAGAGAACUCGGGUGAAGGAACUAGGCAAAAUGGUGCCGUAACUUCGGGAGAAGGCACGCUGAUAUGUAGGUGAAGUCCCUCGCGGAUGGAGCUGAAAUCAGUCGAAGAUACCAGCUGGCUGCAACUGUUUAUUAAAAACACAGCACUGUGCAAACACGAAAGUGGACGUAUACGGUGUGACGCCUGCCCGGUGCCGGAAGGUUAAUUGAUGGGGUCAGCGCAAGCGAAGCUCUUGAUCGAAGCCCCGGUAAACGGCGGCCGUAACUAUAACGGUCCUAAGGUAGCGAAAUUCCUUGUCGGGUAAGUUCCGACCUGCACGAAUGGCGUAAUGAUGGCCAGGCUGUCUCCACCCGAGACUCAGUGAAAUUGAACUCGCUGUGAAGAUGCAGUGUACCCGCGGCAAGACGGAAAGACCCCGUGAACCUUUACUAUAGCUUGACACUGAACAUUGAGCCUUGAUGUGUAGGAUAGGUGGGAGGCUUUGAAGUGUGGACGCCAGUCUGCAUGGAGCCGACCUUGAAAUACCACCCUUUAAUGUUUGAUGUUCUAACGUGGACCCGUAAUCCGGGUUGCGGACAGUGUCUGGUGGGUAGUUUGACUGGGGCGGUCUCCUCCUAAAGAGUAACGGAGGAGCACGAAGGUUGGCUAAUCCUGGUCGGACAUCAGGAGGUUAGUGCAAUGGCAUAAGCCAGCUUGACUGCGAGCGUGACGGCGCGAGCAGGUGCGAAAGCAGGUCAUAGUGAUCCGGUGGUUCUGAAUGGAAGGGCCAUCGCUCAACGGAUAAAAGGUACUCCGGGGAUAACAGGCUGAUACCGCCCAAGAGUUCAUAUCGACGGCGGUGUUUGGCACCUCGAUGUCGGCUCAUCACAUCCUGGGGCUGAAGUAGGUCCCAAGGGUAUGGCUGUUCGCCAUUUAAAGUGGUACGCGAGCUGGGUUUAGAACGUCGUGAGACAGUUCGGUCCCUAUCUGCCGUGGGCGCUGGAGAAUUGAGGGGGGCUGCUCCUAGUACGAGAGGACCGGAGUGGACGCAUCACUGGUGUUCGGGUUGUCAUGCCAAUGGCACUGCCCGGUAGCUAAAUGCGGAAGAGAUAAGUGCUGAAAGCAUCUAAGCACGAAACUUGCCCCGAGAUGAGUUCUCCCUGACC
RNAcentral lists this ribosomal RNA (1544 nucleotides) under Escherichia coli. RNAcentral's name for it is "partial 23S ribosomal RNA". It matches the Rfam family "Bacterial large subunit ribosomal RNA", at positions 1291 to 2820 of the family's 2925-position model. The record is from RNAcentral. Lineage: Bacteria; Pseudomonadati; Pseudomonadota; Gammaproteobacteria; Enterobacterales; Enterobacteriaceae.